Molecule: long non-coding RNA, 777 nt
Organism: Suricata suricatta (meerkat)
Lineage: Eukaryota; Metazoa; Chordata; Mammalia; Carnivora; Herpestidae
Exons: 3
Source: RefSeq, a predicted model, not a curated record
AAAAAGAGCCUCCUUAGCAACUUGGGCAGAAAGAGGUGGCGGUGGUGGUCUAAGGCAUCUCCUCCCUGCAAACCAGGGGGCCCUGAGGACACCUUCCUGCCUUGCACCCCUCUACUUCCUAACCCCAUACCUGCACGGGCAGCUCCAAGUCUCCCGAGACCUCACAGCCUGGGGUCUUCCCCCUAGAAACCACGGGCAAGGGGCCUGAGGCUCACUGAGCCCUUGUUAGGGGUGGCCUAGGGGGACAAGGGGAAAAUGGGGGUUGGGCUGGGGGCAGAGCCCUUGCUCAGGAGUCCCCUUGUCCCAAAGGCCCUCCAGGCCUCCCAGGGGAGUAUGCUGGGGGCAGGGAGAUAUGAAGGCCCUGAGGGUGGCUUCUCCCUAGGCCUCAGUCCACCUGCAAUAGGGAAAGGGGUCCAUGUGGAGGUCCUCGAGCCCCGUCAGCGAAAGAGGAGGAGGCCAACUGGGGGACUGGGUUGGGAGUACAGUUUGCAGUAUGGAAGCCCCGUGAGGCUGACCCCCACCCUGCGCAUCUCCCAUAAACAUCCUGGUGGGAGCUGAGUGGCCCUGGGCUGCCUCCGUCAGAGAUGACACAGAGGCCAGACAGGACCCCCCAGGGACAGACAGACGGACACACACAGCCUUGGACCUGCUGACCUCACACCAGCCAGCCCCACCUCACCCAGGGGUCGGCAGGGGCAAGGACCCCUGGCUCCCCACUUGGUGUCCCGGGGGCACCUUCCCCCCUGUCUGUGACCCCCCCCACUGGGUUUCCUCCCA